Molecule: long non-coding RNA, 1125 nt
Filed under: Phoenix dactylifera (date palm)
Lineage: Eukaryota; Viridiplantae; Streptophyta; Magnoliopsida; Arecales; Arecaceae
Description: long non-coding RNA (PDAC_LNC006893)
Source: RNAcentral
GGGGUUAUUUUGUUUUUUAGAUUUUAUUAGAAGGAAAGUUCAUUAACCAAUCGAAGAUAAAAUUUUCUAGGUGGGCAAGGCAAAUAGAGCAAGACCAAGAGGGCAUUACAUGGUAAAUGUAUUUUUAAUGGUUAAAUUGUCCAUAAAAAUGGUUUUCUGUAGCUUUCAUUCUGUUCCAAUAUUAUCUAUGAUAAUAACAGUAGCUUCAAAAAACAAUGCAAUGAUGCAUGACUGCAUAGAAAAUGUUCAAAGUAUAUUAAAAUUUAGUAUGAGUUAUUUAGCAUCUAAUUUUGUCCCCAUCCUCACUUUAUAAGUUUAUUUGUUGAGAACUGGAAACUGACUUUGGUUCAUGAUCUGGAAAAUCCUGCAGUACCAAAGAGUCAAACCCUUGAUAUAGUGACUGGCUGAGAACAACUUUAAAGUCGAGCUGGAAUGCUCUGGAUAGUGUAUAGUACUUCUUGCUAUCACUUUAAUUAAUUUCUAUUCAGUUUGAAAUCUAUUAGCACUAAAACUAUUGGUGUCAGGGAAAAAAGGAUUUAGAUUGUUACCUAAAGUUAGAUCAAGUCUAAGUAGGACGAAUCUCUAAAGUGCAUGUUAAAAACUUUUACUAAGAACUAGAGCAAUUAAAUCUAUCUUAAAAUUUUGAGUGUCUGCUUUGUGGUUUUCUUUUUCCUUCUAGUGCUCAAAAGAAUUCUUUAGAUUUGAAGGUCCGAUUGUUUUAAAAGAAAUAGAAUGGUUUAACAUUGUUUAUCCACUUCUCUGGCCACAUCCAUGAGGUGUUGGAAUAAUCAUCUUUUGAGAUGUAAGUUGGAAUCUCAAAGCCCAACUCCAAGUUACCACGGCAAUAAAUCAGCAAUUCGGUACAUGUCAAAUGCUUGGGCUUCACAUAGGACACAACACAGACUUCAAGGACAGUAAAUUGUCAAACACUUACAUGACAUGGUCCAACAUAAUUCAUGGCCAUGCACAUAAGCCAAGUGAGGGGGGGAGAGGGGAGGCAAAUUUGUACAAGCAAUCAUAGGAUGAGAACAGGAAAGCAAGAUCAGAGGCAGGAGAAACGCCGGGAGGCGAGGGGGAGAAGACUGCAGAGAGAGAGAGAGAGAGAGAGAGAGAGAGAGAGAGAGA